CACCGCUGUAUUCACUCGCCAUGGCGUCCGCAGCGCCAAGGCAACCCGCAGGCGCCAGUGCACAGGAGCAACUGAAAACAGACCUUCUUCACAGACUUCUGAGGAAAAUUUCCCAGGUCACACAGAGACUCCCGAUGGAUGUGGGCUAUUUGCAGUUUGUUUUAGGUCAUUGUCAGGCCAAGUUGAGAUGCCACAAGAUGUUGUAAAUGCAUUGAGAGAGCUGUCAAUACUUGUCAAUGCAGAGGACAGCUCUAAUAUGAGUCUUUGUCAGGUGCCAGUGUUGCAAGCAGAAAUGGGACGGCCAAAAUAUGUUGUGUCACAUCAGCAACUACAAAGCCUGGUAGAAAUGUCCCUACCAGUGUCAUGCAUUGCAAAACUUCUGGGUGUAUCUGAGAGGACAGUGAAACGGCGCAUGCAUGAAUAUGGCCUUUCCAUAAUGCAGUAUUACAGUACCUUAACUGAUGAACAACUUGACAAUUUGGUGAGGUCGGUGAAAGCCAGGACACCACAUGUAGGGUGCAGUUCGAGUACUCUCAAGACUGACAAGGUUGGGGUGUGUUGCAAGAAGGACUUAUUCUGUCCAGGGUCCUCUGCACUUGGUGCAUAUCGACACAAAUCAUAAGCUCAUCAGAUAUGGCCUUGUUAUUUUUGGAGGGGUUGAUGGCUUUUUACGAAAGAUCAUGUACCGAGGUGCUGCGACCAAUAAUAAAGCAUCCACUGCACUUGAUUUCUUCUUUGAGGCAGUGCAGAAGUAUGGCUUUCCAUUAAGGUAAGA
This is a long non-coding RNA of Micropterus dolomieu (smallmouth bass), 775 nucleotides long. RefSeq lists it as uncharacterized. NCBI's taxonomy places the organism in Eukaryota, Metazoa, Chordata, Actinopteri, Centrarchiformes, Centrarchidae. The record is from RefSeq and is a predicted model, not a curated record. The transcript has 4 exons.